GGUUAAGUGACUAAGCGUACACGGUGGAUGCCUAGGCAGUCAGAGGCGAUGAAGGGCGUGCUAAUCUGCGAUAAGCGUCGGUAAGGUGAUAUGAACCGUAAUAACCGGCGAUACCCGAAUGGGGAAACCCAGUGCAAUUCGUUGCACUAUCAUACGAUGAAUACAUAGUCGUAUGAGGCGAACCGGGGGAACUGAAACAUCUAAGUACCCCGAGGAAAAGAAAUCAACCGAGAUUCCCCCAGUAGCGGCGAGCGAACGGGGAGGAGCCCAGAACCUGAAUCAGUUCUUGUGUUAGUGGAAGCGUCUGGAAAGUCGCACAGUAAAGGGUGAUAGUCCCGUACACUAAAAUGCAUUAACUGUGAGUUCGAUGAGUAGGGCGGGACACGUGACAUCCUGUCUGAAUAUGGGGGGACCAUCCUCCAAGGCUAAAUACUCCUGACUGACCGAUAGUGAACCAGUACCGUGAGGGAAAGGCGAAAAGAACCCCGGCGAGGGGAGUGAAAUAGAACCUGAAACCGUGUACGUACAAGCAGUGGGAGCACCUUCGUGGUGUGACUGCGUACCUUUUGUAUAAUGGGUCAGCGACUUAUAUUUUGUAGCAAGGUUAACCGUAUAGGGGAGCCGUAGGGAAACCGAGUCUUAACUGGGCGAAUAGUUGCA
This 660-nucleotide ribosomal RNA is filed under the name Escherichia coli. RNAcentral's name for it is "partial 23S ribosomal RNA". It matches the Rfam family "Bacterial large subunit ribosomal RNA", at positions 1 to 704 of the family's 2925-position model. Lineage: Bacteria; Pseudomonadati; Pseudomonadota; Gammaproteobacteria; Enterobacterales; Enterobacteriaceae. The record is from RNAcentral.